RNAcentral lists this ribosomal RNA (253 nucleotides) under uncultured bacterium. RNAcentral's name for it is "partial 16S ribosomal RNA". It matches the Rfam family "Bacterial small subunit ribosomal RNA", at positions 524 to 776 of the family's 1533-position model. The record is from RNAcentral.
UACGAAGGGGGCUUGCGUUGUUCGGAUUUACUGGGCGUAAAGCGCACGUAGGCGGAUCGUUAAGUCAGGGGUGAAAUCCUGGAGCUCAACUCCAGAACUGCCUUUGAUACUGGCGAUCUUGAGUCCGGAAGAGGUGAGUGGAACUCCUAGUGUAGAGGUGGAAUUCGUAGAUAUUAGGAAGAACACCAGUGGCGAAGGCGGCUCACUGGUCCGGUACUGACGCUGAGGUGCGAAAGCUAGGGUAGCAAACGGG